RNAcentral lists this ribosomal RNA (1756 nucleotides) under Euglena gymnodinioides. RNAcentral describes it as "LSU rRNA". It matches the Rfam family "Bacterial large subunit ribosomal RNA", at positions 993 to 2771 of the family's 2925-position model. Lineage: Eukaryota; Euglenozoa; Euglenophyceae; Euglenales; Euglenaceae. The record is from RNAcentral.
GGGGGAUAAGCUUCAUUGUCGAGAGGGAAACAGCCCAGAUCACCAUUUAAGGCCCCUAAAUAUUCACUAAGUGGCAAAGGAUGUAAUAUUACAUAGACAACCAGGAGGUUGGCUUAGAAGCAGCCAUUCCUUUAAAAAGUGCGUAAUAGCUUACUGGUCAAGUGAUUUUGCGCCUAAAAUGAACGGGACUAAGUGAUUUGCCGAAAAUGUGAGAGAAAUCAGUAGAAGAGCGUUCUGUUUUUAUUAGAAGCAAUAGCGUAAGCAGUUGUGGAUUAACCAGAAGUGAGAAUGUCGGCUUAAGUAACGAAAACAUUGGUGGAAAUCCAAUGCCCCGAAAAUCUAAGGGUUCCUUAGCUAGGUUCGUCCACUAAGGGUUAGUCAGGUCCUAAAAUGAGGUUUAACAACGUAAUUGAUGGAUAACAGGUUAAUAUUCCUGUACCGAUUUUUAUUUAGCUAAGAGUGACGAAAAAGGCUAGGUCAUCCAAAUACUGGUUUUGGGUUUAAUUUUUCAACGUGUUGACAGGUGUUAAUAAAAAAUACCUUGAGCGAAGGUUAAAAUACGAUAGAUGCUAAGGCAUUGAAAAGUGAUCGAUGUCAUGUUUCCAAGAAAAACUUUUGUAGCGUGCAAUAGAAAUUGCCUGUACCGUAAACUGACACAGGUGGAUUAGUAGAGUAUACUAAGGGGCGCGAGAUAACUCUUUCUAAGGAACUCGGCAAAAUGACUCCGUAACUUCGGGAGAAGGAGUGCCUCUAUUUGAGGUCGCAGUGAUCAGGUCCAAGCGACUGCUUACCAAAAGCACAGGUCUCCGCUAAGUUGAAAAACUAUGUAUGGGGGCUGACGCCUGCCCAGUGCCGGAAGGUUAAAGAAAUUGGUUAGCGAAAGCGAAGCUAGUGACUGAAGCCCUGGUGAACGGCGGCAAUAACUAUAAUUGUCCUAAGGUAGCGAAAUUCCUUGUCGGGUAAGUUCCGACCCGCACGAAAGGCGUAACGAUUUGGACGCUGUCUUGGAAAGAGACUCGGUGAAAUAGAAUUGACCGUGAAGAUGCGGUCUACUUGCACUUGGACAGAAAGACCCUAUGAAGCUUUACUGUAACUUGAAAUUGGUUUUGGGCUUUUCUUGCGCAGAAUAGGUGGGAGGCUGAGAUCCUCUUUUUCGGAAGAAGGUGAGCCAAAAUGUGAGAUACCACUCUGGAGAAGUUAGAAAUCUAAUAGUAUUUUUUCAUCAAGAUGCUUGACAGUUUCAGGCGGGCAGUUUUACUGGGGCGGUAGCCUCCUAAAAGGUAACGGAGGCGUACAAAGGUUUUCUCAGUCUGGACGGAAAUUAGUUGUAGAGUGUAAAGACAUAAGAAAGCUUGACUGUGAGACCUAUAAGUCGAGCAGAGACUAAAGUCGGUCUUAGUGACCCGACGGUGCUGAGUGGAAAGGCCGUCGUUCAACAGAUAAAAGUUACUCUAGGGAUAACAGGCUGAUCUCCCCCAAGAGUUCACAUCGACGGGGAGGUUUGGCACCUCGAUGUCGGCUCAUCGCAACCUGGGGCGGUAGUACGUCCCAAGGGUUGGGCUGUUCGCCCAUUAAAGCGGUACGUGAGCUGGGUUCAGAACGUCGAGAGACAGUUCGGUCCAUAUCCGGUGUGAGCGUUAGAGUAUUGAAAGGAGCUUUCCUUAGUACGAGAGGACCGGGAAGGACACACCACUGAUGUACCAGUUUUUGUGCCAACAGAAUACGCUGGGUAGUCAAGUGUGGAGUGGAUAACUGC